AUGGCCAAGCUUCUGGAGCUUGAUGAAGACUGCCUCGUUAAUCAGUUUAACAGCAACGCCCCCACUUUUGCUAGAUUCAACCACUCCCCUCCGUGUCCAAGACCUGAUCUUGUCCUGGGCAUCAAGCCUCAUGCCGAUUUCCCUGCUCUCACGGUUCUUCUCAUGGACAAAGACGUCGUGGGGCUGCAAUAUCUUAGAGAUGGAACCUGGUACAAUGUUCCAGCUGUGUGUGACCACACCUUGCUGAUCAACAUUGGUCUUACAAUGGAGAUAAUGACCAACGGGAUCUUCAUGGGGCCAAUGCGUAGAGUUGUGACUAAUGCCAAUAAAGAGAGGAUAUCAAUGGCCAUGUUCUAUGGUGUGGAUCCCAUGCAAGAGAUUGGGCCGACAGCUCAUCUGUUAAGUGAGGAGCAACCGGCACAAUUAAUACAGGAAAAUGAAGGCCAAGGACUUGUUAGUGUUGCACCAUGA
RNAcentral lists this ribosomal RNA (471 nucleotides) under Triticum aestivum (bread wheat). RNAcentral describes it as "partial small subunit ribosomal RNA". Lineage: Eukaryota; Viridiplantae; Streptophyta; Magnoliopsida; Poales; Poaceae. The record is from RNAcentral.